Molecule: ribosomal RNA, 253 nt
Filed under: uncultured prokaryote
Description: partial 16S ribosomal RNA
Rfam family: Bacterial small subunit ribosomal RNA
Source: RNAcentral
ACGGGGGGGGCAAGCGUUGUUCGGAAUUACUGGGCGUAAAGAGCUCGUAGGCGGUCUGUCGCGUCUGGUGUGAAAUCCCGAGGCUCAACCUCGGGCUUGCAUCGGGUACGGGCAGACUAGAGUGCGGUAGGGGAGACUGGAAUUCCUGGUGUAGCGGUGGAAUGCGCAGAUAUCAGGAGGAACACCGAUGGCGAAGGCAGGUCUCUGGGCCGCAACUGACGCUGAGGAGCGAAAGCAUGGGGAGCGAACAGGA